CUUCCAGGAAGCUUUCUCUGAUCACCCGCCUGGAUUAAUUGCCCCUCCCAGCUAUUCCACAGAGCUAUUCUGUGCCACCCGGCUUUGUCACCGCCUGUCCCUCCAACCAGCUGUAAGCUGCUGUGUGGACCAUGGCUUGUUUACUGCUUCAGGCCGACACUUGGGAGAGCCUGAUGGCGUUCAAUACCUGUGAAACGACUGAAUUCAUGACCACACCCAAGCUCACAGCUCCGAAGCGCCAGACAAACCCCGAUGGGCUGUUUUCCUUCAUGCUGUGUUGCUUUUCUGAUGACACACGCGGAGCCCUCCUUUCCCACGACCACGUAUGCUCUCCAUCAAAGUAUAAUUUCCACAAAGUCGAAGACAAGGAUCUCCCACAUCAAUCUAAAAACCAUUUGCAACUCAUCAAUUUCCUACAAGUUAGCAUCUGAAUUCACAGAGCCCCCUCCCCGCCCCCUCCAGGGCCCGCCUCAGCAGGAUGGUCUCUUGAUCGCUGCUCCCUCCCCUCAUCACCGAGGCCCAGGCUGGACGGGGCUUUGCGCUCACAUCCCAGGGCACAGCUGGGCAAGUGGACAAAGGCAUCAGGACAGGAAACCAUCAACAAGAGCGGCACGAAAUCUCUGGCUGGCCAGACGGUGCUUCCUGCCCGGGGCUCUCACGUCCAGACAACUGUAAAAUUUAUCCUUUGAGCCCAGACACUGCGGUGGGUGACAGGGGCCUCUUACAGUCCUGACGGGACAGCAGCAUCGGCCACGGCGGUCCUGGGCACUCGCUAUCCCGCAGCCAGGCCUUUCCUGGCACAGGACCCAGAGAAACGUGUGUCUCCCGGAGAACCCAUUUCUCCUACACAUUCAGGCUGCCAACCUCUACUCUCAUCUCUGCUGGGAAUUCAAGAAGCAAGACCCUGGCCCAGGGAGCCUCAGGGAACGGGCAAGGACCACUGUCAGGAGAAUGUGGAUGCUGCCUUGAGCACCGGACAGAGGACGCCAAGAGGAAGCCAGCGCUGUGGGGGCUCGGAGAGGCGCCUCACCUGCCAGAGAGGGUGCCGCUCAGGCUCAGCCCCUCAGGGGCUCUGGAGGAGAGACUCCAUGGGAAGGAAGAGGUUUGGGGUGAAUGCAGAGACCCAGGAGGAAAAGCUGCCUGAGAGGAGUCCCAGAGGGGCGAGUGCGUCGGCCCUGGGAGUCGCCAGAAAGCUCCUGCCCUUGCUGACCUUCCUCUCUUCGCUGUCACCCCGAGUCCCCACUCCUGGAGGGGGACCCCGCGUUACCUCCACGGGCCGUCGGCCGGGGGGCACCUCCUCACUGGCUCCCAGAGAAGUUUGUUGAAUACACGGCAG
RNAcentral lists this long non-coding RNA (1336 nucleotides) under Equus caballus (horse). RNAcentral's name for it is "lncRNA (ENSECAG00000060199.1)". The record is from RNAcentral. Lineage: Eukaryota; Metazoa; Chordata; Mammalia; Perissodactyla; Equidae.